This 30-nucleotide non-coding RNA is filed under the name Mus musculus (house mouse). Lineage: Eukaryota; Metazoa; Chordata; Mammalia; Rodentia; Muridae. The record is from RNAcentral.
UCCCCCUCUUAGAGGCCAAUUACUCUGCAA